Molecule: long non-coding RNA, 1141 nt
Organism: Oreochromis aureus
Lineage: Eukaryota; Metazoa; Chordata; Actinopteri; Cichliformes; Cichlidae
Exons: 3
Source: RefSeq, a predicted model, not a curated record
CAACGGUAAGCUUUUUAUUUUGAAUUUAUAAGUAUAAACAAUGCUGUUACAUUUACACUGCAAUUUUUUACUAUAAGUAUGGACAUGGAAACAAGUGAGCAACAUUUUGAAAUAAGUUUAAUUGGAAUUCUGUACACUGAAAAAAAACAAAAAACAAACAGACAGUGCCUUCAUCUGUCCAUUAAAUGUCAAACAUCACAAUGACCCAUAGUCCCUGCUCGUCAGCACAAGCUUUUAAAAAGAGCUCCAUGUCCUCUGCAAACUGAAAAACAAAGAGGAGGAAGUCCCUGUACACAAACACACUGCAGAUGACAGGCCAGGCAAACAGCUAUUGAUCUGUUUGAAUGACUCUUCAUCAUGUGAGCCUUGAAGUUUUUUUUAAGAAGACUAAGACCACAGUGAGGGCAUUUCAUUUUCAUGGACUUUCUGUUUGUAAUGUAAUGUGCUGAUAUGUGCAAAAAAAGUCAUACCCAAAUACAAUAUGUAACCCCUAUAGACAUGGUUACUAUUAUUUUUUGUCUUGUAUUAUUAUUUCCGACACCCCUUGAACACACUUUGAUUUUCCGUAGUUCAGUGAAUGCAACAUACGCACGCUGCUGCAUUAAGCUAGACAAAACGGAGCAAGACACCGAGAGCAAUCAACAAGCUACACAAGCCGUUUAUGUGUUUUGCUCUCGACCAAACCAGGUGGAGCGUGUGUUUGUUUCUUGGGAACUCCGACUGUUUUAUUUUUGUGAUCCUGGAUCUGAUCCCGAAGUGGUUCUGGAUAUGGAUGGCGAGAUGGCGAGCCAGACCCUGUGAAAACUCUUGGCGAAUCCAAAAGCAGUGUGGCCAGCUGUUCUGGAUGCAGGAGUAGAUCUACAGAUGUGAAUUACUUCAAAUCGCAGGAUUUCAGAUAAGCAAGAGCAACAACUACUUACUCCAUACGGAUCGUUUCUCUGAAAAACUAUUGAACUCACAAUAUCCUGCUCAUCAGGAGUCAGGUCUAAAGAGACUACUUAUUUUAUUUUAUUAUAUUUUGUUGUUAUUUUCAAAAGAGCGCUCUUCUCUGUUGAUCUUCUGUUAAUUUUCUAUGUUGUUUACAUUGGGUUAUUGCACCAUUGUAACAUUGUAAUAAAUCUGCCGGCUGUUCAACACUCAA